Molecule: non-coding RNA, 97 nt
Organism: Acanthosepion pharaonis
Lineage: Eukaryota; Metazoa; Mollusca; Cephalopoda; Sepiida; Sepiidae
Source: the annotation of a GenBank genome assembly
CAGAAACACCAGUUCCUGUAUGACCAUCAAAGUUAAGCAACAUUGAGCUUUGUCAGUAUCUAGAUGGGUGACCCCUUGGGAAUACAAUGUGCUGUAA